Bos indicus x Bos taurus (hybrid cattle) is the source of this 104-nucleotide small nuclear RNA. The record is from Ensembl. NCBI's taxonomy places the organism in Eukaryota, Metazoa, Chordata, Mammalia, Artiodactyla, Bovidae.
GUGCUUGCUUCAGCAGCAUAUAUACUAAAAUUGGAACAAUAUAGAGAUCAGCAUGACCUCUGUGCAAGAAUGACACACAGAUUUGUGAAGUGUCCCACAUUUUU